Molecule: ribosomal RNA, 301 nt
Filed under: uncultured bacterium
Lineage: Bacteria
Description: partial 16S ribosomal RNA
Rfam family: Bacterial small subunit ribosomal RNA
Source: RNAcentral
CAGUAGCCGCGGUAAUAUGAAGGGUGCAAGCGUUAAUCGGAAUUACUGGGCGUAAAGCGUGUAUAGGUGGUUGUUUAAGUCUGUCGUGAAAGCCCUGGGCUCAACCUGGGAAUUGCGAUGGAUACUGGGCGACUAGAGUGCGGUAGAGGAUAGUGGAAUUUCCGGUGUAGCAGUGAAAUGCGUAGAGAUCGGAAGGAACAUCUGUGGCGAAGGCGACUAUCUGGGCCAACACUGACACUGAGACACGAAAGCGUGGGGAGCAAACAGGAUUAGAUACCCGCGUAGUCCCUGUCUCUUAUAA